GAGUUUGAUCCUGGCUCAGGACGAACGCUGGCGGCGUGCCUAAUACAUGCAAGUCGAACGCACUGACAGAGAAACUUGUUUCUCUCGACGUGAGUGGCGCACGGGUGAGUAACACGUGGGAAACCUACCCUUCAGCGGGGGAUAACCGUCGGAAACGAUGGCUAAUACCGCAUAGGUCUUUUAACCGCCUGGUUGAAAGAGGAAAGACGGCUUCGGCUGUCACUGAAGGAUGGUCCCGCGGUGCAUUAGCUUAGUUGGUAAGGUAACGGCUUACCAAGGCGAUGAUGCAUAGCCGACCUGAGAGGGU
Molecule: ribosomal RNA, 307 nt
Filed under: uncultured bacterium
Lineage: Bacteria
Description: bacterial SSU rRNA
Rfam family: Bacterial small subunit ribosomal RNA
Source: RNAcentral